Molecule: RNA transcript, 3251 nt
Organism: Melozone crissalis (California towhee)
Lineage: Eukaryota; Metazoa; Chordata; Aves; Passeriformes; Passerellidae
Gene: CAPN10
Gene name: calpain 10
Exons: 15
Source: RefSeq, a predicted model, not a curated record
GGGGCCGCGCGUGCCGGCGUUGCCGGGUAACCGCCGCCCCGGGCAAUGGCGGCGGGACCGCCUCGCGGUUGCUGCCUGGCCAUUUAAAGUCGUAGGAAUAGCCGGCAAAGCUGCUUAGGACUGUGUUGAAAAUGCUGGGAGAGAAAAAGCAGUUAAUGGUGGCAAGAGACCUUUAUACAGACCCCACGUUCCCGGCCAGUGAUACCUCCAUAUUUUUUAAUUAUUGUACCCCGCUGGCCCAGUUCAGAGGCGAGAUAUCUUGGUUGAGACCUAAGGACAUUUGUUCCUCUCCUCGGUUAUUUUCAAACAAUCUGCAGGAUGUGCAAGUAAAACAAGGAAUUUUGGGAGACUGUUGGUUCCUGUGUGCCUGUGUAGCUUUGCAGAAGAGCAAAUACUUACUGAACAAGGUGAUCCCUCCAGGCCAGCCCAGCUGGACAGAUGAGUCCUACCAAGGCUGCUUCACGUGCCGGGUGUGGCAGUUUGGCCACUGGGUGGAAGUGACCAUUGAUGAUCGCCUGCCUUGCCUUGGGGGCAAACUCUGCUUUUCCCAGUGUCAGACAGAGGAUUUGUUUUGGCUUCCACUCCUGGAAAAAGCUUAUGCAAAAGUGCAUGGAUCUUAUGAGCAGUUGUGGGCAGGACAGGUGGCAGAUGCUUUGGUUGAUCUGACUGGAGGAAUUGCUGAAAGAUGGACCCUGAAAGACCCUGGGAAAAAUGUGGAGAAAGAGAAGACUGGCAUGGUUUUGGAGAAAGCAGUGUUUAGAAGAUUAAUGAAUCUGAAGGAACAGUGUGUAAUAAGCUGUUCAGUCCUCAACUCCAGACAAGGUGCAAGUGAACUAGGAGAAUUUCAUGCCUUUAUUGUGAUAGACACAUUGAAUCUCUCUGAAGUGUCAGGCAAGGAAAUCUUCCUGCUACGAAUAAGAAAUCCUUGGGGGAGGCGGUGCUGGAAAGGGCCUUGGUGUGAGGGUGGUCAAGGAUGGAACCAGCUAGAUCCAGUAGUUGCUUCAGAACUCCUCUCACAGAUCCAAGAAGGAGAAUUCUGGGUUGAUGAAGAAGAAUUUUUCAGGGAAUUUGAUGAGAUUACUGUGGGCUUUCCAGUCAAUGAGGAAGGACAACUUCAGAGCCUCUAUACAGAGAAAGUGCUGUAUCACUCUCAGAAUCUCUUUGGAUCCUGGGUGAGAGGCCAGUCUGCCGGUGGCUGCCGCAACAACAGCAGCUUCCCUACCAACCCCAAGUUCUGGCUGAGGGUGUGUGAGUCCAGUGAGGUGUGCAUUGCUCUGCUGCAGAAACACAGGAAAUACAGCACUGACUGGGCUGGAAGGAUUCAAAAGCCAACUCGCUUAGCAGAGGAAAAUCCAUCUUUGACUGAAGGCAUACAGGGAAAGAAUUACCAGGCUGUGGGAUUGCAUGUCUGGAAGGUGGAGAAGAAACGAUUUAACCUUCCAAAGACCCUCUCUGCUCCUCCAGUUGUAGGUACUGUCUGCCAUUCCUACGACAGAGAAGUCCAUGUGUGCUGUGACCUUUCACCUGGCUUUUAUCUUGUUGUUCCCAGCACUUUUCUGAAAGAUGCAGUAGGGAAUUUCUUGCUUCGUGUAUUUUCAACAGGAAGGAUCUCUCUCAGUGAACUAAAGCCACCACCCAUGGAUGCUGCCCUCUGUGAAGAACUCCCAGCUGGUGAAUGGGAGACAGUGCAGCUGCAUGGAUGCUGGAAGAAUGGGCUAAAUGCUGGAGGUAGCAGGAACUUCCCCUCCUUCCAUACCAAUCCCUGCUUUCCCCUCUCCAUUCCUGCAGGCCCAGGGAAAAGCAGUGUGAAAGUCACCCUCCGUCAGCACUGCCUGGAUAGCAAGUGUUGUCCAAUAGGUUUCCAUAUUUUCCAGGUGCCUAACAGCAGCUGGAAACCACAAACUACUUCUUUUGUACAUUUGGAGCCACUGGUGAGCUGUGUUCCUCACUGCUAUUCCCAGGAAGUCAGCCGACUCUGCAGGCUUCCUGCAGGAAGUUAUGUCAUUAUACCUUCUACAUACUUGCCCAAUACAGAAGGCAAUUUUACAGUGGUCAUAGCAACCAAAAUAGACAGGAAGCGCAUUCACAGCCAGGAGACACUUGGACAGGUGUUACAAGAGGUUUCCUUUACAACUGUGAUGAAAAGGAAGGAUAUACCUCAAGAACCAUCAAAAUACACUGGAGUAGAAAAAGUCCAAGCUUGUAUCUGACACUGCCAGUCUUGCUGCUGAGCACUUUACCUUGGGCCCUCUAUGGAACCAAGGAGAUGGUGGGUUCAAAGGAAAGAUUUUUUUGGUGAGUUUUUCUUUAAUGAAUGCCAGAAAUAAAAAAGACAAGACUUGAAAACUUUUGAACUAUGCUAUCAGACUGCUUUUGUAAAUCUGUAAGAAUGUGUUUUAUGGAAGAGCUGCCCUUGCCGCAAGAAAUGUGCGGUUUAAGGGUUUUUUCUUAAUUUGUGUUUGAAAGUGUUUCUUAUUCAAGCAGGAUUUUUAAAUGUUAUAUUUUUCUCAGUAAAAAUAAAGUAACAUUAAAAGUUUUAAAAUGGCUUUUAUUUUAAAAGUUAAAUACUUCAAUUUUGUCACGCAUGCAUUGGUUCUGUGGUAGUGAACAUUACCAUGUGUUAGAACCCUGGGAUUUCACUUAGUGGAAGGGAAUAAUGGGAGAUACUUGCAAGAAGAAUCAAGUCUUCCAUUAGUCCCAGAAAUAUGUAGUAUUCUGCUUUUGCUUUUAACUACAUCCUGCCAUAUUUUCUACUAGCUCCUGUUGAACUUUGAAAAUUGAAAGGAUUUAGGAUGCUUUCGGCUGAAUUUUAAAUGGUCAAAACCUUCCACAUCUGUUGGUGUGGAAAAAGAGCAAAAGAAAACACUGAGUAAUAAAUCUCUACUGUACCUACUAAAACAGCUGUUGACAUCUUUGUUUAUUUCCUUAAUUUCUUGAAAAGCUGUUCCUUUCUCUUCAAAUAGGAAAUUAUUGGAUCAUACAACAGUGUUUCUAAACAGAAGGAAAAGUUUGUGAAAGUGCAUGGACCUGAGUUGUGGUGAAAUAGAAAUUGGAUACUGAGGAAGUAAAAAAAGAUAAGAUCUAAGAAAAGACCUGUGAACUCAGAAGACUAACAGCUUAUUGAAGUAAAUUUUAUUCAAGCAUCCUUACUGAACAGUUGUCCCAUUUUAAGAGUGUGAUACCUGACAGAGCAUACAUGCAGGAAACUACUUGAUACAGGGCACUUCUCUAGCAUCCUACAGCUAAUUCAC